GCAGGGAGUGUCAGCCACGUCUAGCGCACAGUCCCAGGCCCCAGGGCGAAGGCGGCCAGGGGAAAUGGGGCUCAGGGAUUGCUAAGCAAACGCAUCACUGGUGGUCUCCAGCGCCUGCGGAGGCAGUGCCUGAUGGCUGAGAAGAAUCGCAGAGGACUAGAAAAGGUUUGAGUCUGAAAUUAUCUGGCACAGAGGAUUAAAGCUCAGAAAUAAGUGAUUGCGAAACAGUUCAACUUCCCUGUUAAUGACAACAACAACAGCAACACGCUUAUUAAUUCCUAGCUGGAGCAUCAAGCUUAUGAAGAUUUCCAAGACUUUAUUGUUGACCCUUGUUGAAGAGAACUCUACUUGGCUUCUUUCCUGGCUUUCCUAAAUUGUUCACAUACAAGAUAAACUACCGUCAUUCAGACUUACAGAAGUGAGAAGACAAGCUGAACCAAAUGUAAAAUGGUAGCAAUUUACAGAUGUCAGAACUAACAUGUGGAUGAACUUAGAGAUGGAGAAGAAAGCUGGGCUUUUCCAAAGAGUGGAUCUAUCUGAACUGGAUAGCACUAUUGAACUUUGUUGCAUAUUUUGUGGUAGCUCUAAAACUCCUCUGCUUGCUUACAUACAACCAGACACCAGUGCCUUCUGAAGCUAAUCCAGGCCAUUUUUAUAACCUAAUGCAGUAGCACUUUGCAAUUAGAUGAAGAAGAUCGGUGGGAUUUCUUUCUGUGGUGAUUAAAAUGUGUCAGGGGAAGAAAUCAAGACAAUACUCCAAGUGAAAAAUAUAAAGUCAGUUAUUUCUUUAAUAUUUUGUGUUAUAGUAAUCAUUUUUAUAUUUUGAGCAUACUUUUUCUUGUCUACUUAAAUACUCAAAAUUAAUUAUAAAAUGUAAAUGUAAGCACAAUGAGAUACCAUCUCAUCCCAGUUAAAAUGGCUUUUAUCAAAAAGAUAGGGAAUAAUGAAUACUGGUGGAAGGAUGUGGAGAAUGGGGAACCCUCGUACACUGUCAAUGAGAAUGUAAAUUAGUACAGCCACUAUGGAAAACUGUAUGGAAGUGCCUCCGAAAACAAAGUAGAACUACCAUGUGAUCCAGCAAUUACACUAGUGGGUAUAUAUUCAAAAGAAAGGAAAUCAACAUAUUAAAGAGAUAGCUGCAUUCUCAUGUUUAUUGAAGUCCUGUUGAAAUAGCCAAAAUAUGGAAUCAACCUAAGUGCCCAUCAGUGGAUGAAUGGUUAAAGAAAAUGUGAUUGAUAUGCAAUGGAAUAUUAUUCAGCCAUAAAAAAGAAUGAAAUCCUGGCGGGGCACAGUGGCUCAUGCAAGUAAUCCCAGCACUGACCUCAUGAAGACAGAGAGUAGAUUGGUGGUUACCAGAGGUUGAGAAGGGGAGAGGAGAGGAGGGAUGAAGAGAGGUUGAUUGAUGGAUAGAAAUAUACAGUUUGAUAAUGAUAAAUCAGUAGGGUGACUAUAGUUUAUAAUAACCUAUUGUAUGGUUCAAAAUAGCUAAAAGAGAAUAAUUGAAAUAACGUAAGACAAAAAUUUAAGAUGAUAGAUAUCCCAAUUACACUGAUUUGAUCUUUACAAAUUAUAUGAAUGUAUUAAAUUAUUACAUGUAUCCCCAAAAUAUGUACAAGUAUUUUGUAUCAAUAAAAAAUAAAAUUUAAGAUAAAGUAAAUGUAAUGAUUAGCUUAUAUUUCCUAGAUCGGAAAUAAAUAUUUACUUAAGUAUGUUUAUGAUGAAGAGUUUUUUUAUAUUACUAUAAAAAUAGACACCUUACAUAAACAUAUUACAGUUGGUGUUUAGAUGGCUCUUUUUUUUCUGGCCUUGAAUUUCUGGAAAGUAGGUAUGGCCUGCUAUGUCAGGACUAGUUCUUGGAAUUCUUUGUUGUUUUUCAGUCAGCCUUAUUUUCUUGGGUCAUGUUUUGAACAAUAUUUAUCAAAUGUCUGUUUACCAGACGUUGUUCCAGAUGCUUGAACAAAAUGAAAUGUCUGCUGUCAUAGAGUUUCCAGUCUAUGUAAGACAGUAAACAAAUGUAUAAUAUAAUGCUAGAUAGUGAUAAGUGCUAAAAAGAAGAAGAAAAUAGGAAAGGGGAAAGAGAGUUUCUGUGUGAUUGUAUGUGAAAGUGUCCAUGCAUGCCGCUCACCCAGUAUUUUAAAUAGAGUGAUCAAGGAAGCCUGUCUGAAGAAGUAACAUUUGAACAGAGAUCUGAAAUAGUCAGUCACGGGAACAUUUAGGGAGAUGUUCCAGGCAGGCAUUGUGGACAAUUUAUGUCACAAAAAAGUCACCCAAGUGUUAAGUCAAGUAACAUCCUGUAUGAUAACUAUAUAUACAUUUUUUUGUUUUUUCUUAAGUGAAAAACAAACUUAUUAGGUUUUCUGGGUACUCAUUAGGUUUUCAGAAAAGUUUUUCAUUUAAUAUCAUUAUUGCUGUAUAUUUCCCUUAAUGAUUAUUCUAUUAUUUAAUACAUAAGAUUUAUGGCUCUACAGAUACAGCUUCACAAUCCCUUAUCUGUAAUUCCAAAAUACAAAAAAAUUUCUUAAUUCAUUUAGUGGCAAAAUCUGAACUGACAUGAAUCUAUUUAAAAUUAUCCUUUAUGGGCCAGGUGCAGUGGCUUACGCCUAUAAUCCCAGCACUUUGGGAGGCCAAGGCAGGAGGAUCACUUGAGGCCAGGAGUUUGAGACCAGCCUGGCCAACAUGGUGAAAUCCCAUUUCUCCUAAAAAUACAAAAAUUAGCUGGGUGUGGUGGCACAUGCUUGUGGUCCCACCUACUUGGGAGGCUGAGGCACGAGAAUCACUUGAACCUGGGAGGUGGAGGUUGCCGAGAUCUUGCCACUGCACUCCAGCCUGGGUGACAGAGCGAAACUCUUGUCUCAAAAAAAAAAAAAGUAUUUAUUCCAUUUAGUGUGACUACUGAUACAUUUCAUUGUAGAAACAUUAGUGUGUUUGAUGAAGGGUUGCUACACAUUAAGUAAAAUAUAGAUAAUACAAUGUAUUGUACCCUAAAAUAUAAAAAAAAUUAAAUCCAGAAACACGUGUUCCCAAGAAUUUUGGAUAAGGGAUUGUAGAUCUGUGUCAGAUUUCUUCUUGAUUUUCUGAUUAAAUGUUACCAUUGUUGUUAAUCUUUAGAUACAUUGUUUUUAGAAGUAUAAUGCUAUAUAGUGCCCUUAUUAUAUACUGGCAUUGCAUAAGCAC
RNAcentral lists this long non-coding RNA (3174 nucleotides) under Homo sapiens (human). RNAcentral's name for it is "HSALNT0329807". The record is from RNAcentral. Lineage: Eukaryota; Metazoa; Chordata; Mammalia; Primates; Hominidae.